Long non-coding RNA from Scylla paramamosain (green mud crab), 2335 nucleotides. RefSeq lists it as uncharacterized. The transcript has 6 exons. The record is from RefSeq and is a predicted model, not a curated record. Lineage: Eukaryota; Metazoa; Arthropoda; Malacostraca; Decapoda; Portunidae.
AGCAAAUACCUGAGUUCCCCUGAAGAGAAUAAUGGAGAUCACGUUUUCUUCAAAAUGACGCCGUUCUCUAUGAUGACAGUAAUAAGAGAACAGAAAGUAACAUAAUUAAAAUAUUCCUCAUGAGAGAGAGAGAGAGAGAGAGAGAGAGAGAGAGAGAGAGAGAGAGAGAGAGAGAGAGAGAGAGAGAGAGAGAGACUAUAAAAUUACUGAAACAAAAAUAGCAACACUGACAUUUUCAUCAUAUUUGUACAUUCCAAUAACACAACACCUGUCUUUCCUUUUUCCUCAUUCGCCAAGUCUUAUAACAAUUACUUCUUACGAAAAACAUAAAUCAAACUCAACUCGUAUUUUUUUUUCCACUGCUUUUCUUCCUCGCUGAAACGGCUUACCCACAAUGCACCUGCCACCGCCCAGUGUGUAGUUGCUGUGUUCCUUGUCGCGAGUGCUUGUGCGUUUUGCGUGACUUAGUGGCCUUGUAUGAUCCCCUUGUGAAAUUAUUAACCAGGCGUGUGAGGGCAGAAGUUACCACGCCAAGAGACUGUGAUGACAGGAGUGUGGGUGGACGGCGCGUGGGAGACUUGCAAGCACGCCGUUACUGCCGCCACUUUUCUCGUGGCCGCGGCGUGGGUCAUCAGGUCACCGCCAGGGUCUGUGGGUUAUUGGUCGCCUCGAGAAUGACAAGCGAUGCGCUGCUGUCGGUGCCUGGGUGACAGUUGCAGCGCCACUGGGGAGUAUUGUACUCCCCGUCUCUGUCACGAGGUCCCUCAACGUUACUUCUGCAGGAACGUCUUCAGUGCGUCUUCAGGAUCAGCAGUGUUGUAUGAAGUCAAUAUGCAGUUGCCUGUCGUGCGCAUCACUUGCUUUAGGCGUCAAUCACCGUCUGGGUCUGGCAGGUGCUCGGCGUGACUGUUCCCGCUGAAAGGUUAGCUGGUGAGUGGGUGCCAGCGGCGCCUUAACGAGACACUUGUUACAGGACGCCUCUGUGAUGGAUGAUAAAAAAGAAUUGUAUCGUCCAGCAAAUGUUUCCCAGUGCCAGGUAUAGCGACCAAGUGCGAGGCUUUGGAACAGUCUCCUCCCCGUAACCUCGGGAUAAAGCUGAUCUUACGAGGCCGGAAGAACUUUAUCUAUUCAGCACAGAAUACGCGCCCUCGGCAAGUCAAUCUUCCGUCGCGGCUCAGGAAACUCUUGACAAACUUUUUAGAUUUUUUUUUUCCACAUUUUCCAUCUACGGCAGGUCCUCGGGCUCGCCUUCACAUUCCCUGACGCUGGCGCUCUGAUUAAGGCUCAUUUAUGGCACUUCUGACCCCCUCCCCUUCUUUCCUCAACCCGCAGAUCAUCCUUGCACCAAACCCACGCACGUAACAUAAUCCCCUAGAUUGCCCUUACGCUGUGUGCCGCAGAGAAGGAAAGGAAAGCAUCAAAGUGAUUAGCUCUCAUUAUAAAAGAAAGCCAAAUUAGCGAGGAAGUUCCUGUGAAAUCCACCUAAUUGAGUUUGAAUGCUCGGGCUAAAGGACUAAAGGUCGCGUGGGGCUAGAAAUGGUUUAGGUUUUGUGAUUUGCUUCCUCAGUUGCUACGGAGACUGCUGGUAGUGGCGGUGGAUUCUUCUCGUGAAUUAGCAAACUAGUAAAACAACAGCUUUUUUUGAAUGCGCAAACCACUAGUUAGUAAGUUCAUUAGUUACUUAGCUGGUUAAUUGGUGAAUGAGUAAGUGAAUAAGUUGGUGAGAGUCAAUGGGUUAGUUUAUUGACCACAGACGCAUUAAUCAACCUAUACACGCAAAAAAAUAAAAAUAAUAAUAAUAAUUCGCAAAGAGAUGAUAAUGGUGACAUGGCUUUUGCUCCUCACUGUGAAGAAAGGAAAAAUUCUUAGCACACCAAUACACAAUUAAUCUGCCAUUUUUUUGUUUUCUUGUUCAGGAGAGUUAGUGCGGGGCUGUUUCUCUAAAAGAUCUGAUGUUGUGUUUAGUUCGGAGUAGUGGAGAUCUUAUUGUAAUUUUUUCUUGUGUUGACCAGGAAGAUUGGCAGCUCAGGUGUGUUGCCUUGUGUCAGGUAUUAGUCUUGAUUUUAUACCUGUCUUGCAUUCGUCAGGCUUAUGAAUCGUAAGCGUAUGUCGGCAAAACACACACACACACACACACACACACACACACACACACACACACACACACACACACACACACACACACACACACACGCAGAAACAUUUACAAGUCUGCAUUUUAGAUCAAUCCGAAUAAAUGUGCUUUGGAUUUUGUGUAAUAAAAUUGAGAAUAUUGCAGCUUGCAUAAAAUAAUGUCCAAGUUAAGUCUGAAAAUCCUGCAUGUUUAGCCUUUGAU